RNAcentral lists this long non-coding RNA (1001 nucleotides) under Mus spicilegus (steppe mouse). RNAcentral's name for it is "lncRNA (ENSMSIG00000032188.1)". Lineage: Eukaryota; Metazoa; Chordata; Mammalia; Rodentia; Muridae. The record is from RNAcentral.
CCUGCCUCCAGCUAGGUAAAGCGUAUCUCAAACCUAUUCCAGUCUCGCCUUACCCUGAAUGAGAAUUGUGCUCCUCCUCCGUUGGUGGGAACAAAUUCACAGUCUCGCCCCAGUUUCCCGCCACCACCACCUCCACCUCCGCCACACCGCAGCCCCACCGAGUCACACAAGUCAGAGAGGGACCACUUCCUCCUAGAAGCCGAGGCAGAGGACCAGGUCGCCAGGACGCACACACCUGAGAUCGGUCGUCACGCGCAAGGGGUCGGCGAGCAAGGGAGUCAGGAUCCUCCAGCCAGAACGGAGUCGGCCUCACCGAGAACCAGAGAGGCCCUGAGCUCGCUGCGAGCGCGCCGGGAUGUCACCGGGUCAGGCGGGGCCACGAUCUCAAAUAUUUACUUAGAAGUUCAAUGCGUUUCUCUGCAAAGAAGUAGGUCGAAAUCAGGACCCCAUGCUGGCUUCCCACUAAUUCACCUAAAAGAUUGCAGUUCCUGAAAAUGAAACCAUUCCGCCAUUGACUUUCGCAUUCUGGUGCCUAUAAAAGAUGUUUAAAUGUUCAUUGGCUUUAAAUGGAUGCUUAAGUGAACAGUGUGUUUCCGGCCCAACUAUGUCAAGUCUUUCUUCACUAAGUACUCCACCCAUGAAGGAUUCAGCUCUCAUCAGAAACCCAUGAGCACCCAUCAGACCUCGGCAUAAUUUAGACGACAGAGGAGAAAAAUCGGAAGCACUGGGCAGCAUUGCACUUGACAAAUAUGGGCCUCAAAACAAACAAAAAAGAUCAGAACAGGAAGCAUCCAAUAGGAUUCAUGAAGAGCCCUAAAGGAAAAAGAUGCGACAAUGUGAGAAAAGGGGAAAGAGCCGGGAAGCAGCCCCAAACAAUCCAUGUUUUCUUUUGAGUCCUCUCUGUCAAAACCACUGCAUUUUGGCAUUGUUCCUGUGUGUAUCACAUUUCAUCCCCACCACUGCUGAAUAAAAGGAGCAAAAUUAGAGAGGAAAAUGCUCUA